This 554-nucleotide ribosomal RNA is filed under the name uncultured bacterium. Its description in RNAcentral is "bacterial SSU rRNA". It matches the Rfam family "Bacterial small subunit ribosomal RNA", at positions 472 to 1023 of the family's 1533-position model. The record is from RNAcentral.
AUAGUAUCGCAAGAGGAAGAGACGGCUAACUCUGUGCCAGCAGCCGCGGUAAUACAGAGGUCUCAAGCGUUGUUCGGAAUCACUGGGCGUAAAGGGUGCGUAGGUGGCGUGGUAAGUCAGAUGUGAAAGCCCGGGGCUCAACCUCGGAAUUGCAUCCGAUACUGCCAUGCUAGAGUAUUGGAGAGGAGUCUAGAAUUCACGGUGUAGCAGUGAAAUGCGUAGAUAUCGUGAGGAAUACCAAAGGCGAAGGCAGGACUCUGGACAAUUACUGACACUGAUGCACGAAGGCUAGGGGAGCGAACGGGAUUAGAUACCCCGGUAGUCCUAGCAGUAAACGGUGCACGCUUGGUGUGCGCAGGUUCGACCCUGUGCGCGCCGGAGCUAACGCGUUAAGCGUGCCGCCUGGGAAGUACGGUCGCAAGAUUAAAACUCAAAGAAAUUGACGGGGACCCGCACAAGCGGUGGAGUAUGUGGCUUAAUUCGAUGCAACGCGAAGAACCUUACCUGGAUUUGACAUGCAUUGUGUCGUCGAUGAAAGUCGGCUAGUGUAGCAA